CCUACGGGUGGCAGCAGUGGGGAAUAUUGCACAAUGGGGGAAACCCUGAUGCAGCGACGCCGCGUGAGUGAAGAAGUAAUUCGUUAUGUAAAGCUCUAUCAGCAGGGAAGAAAAUGACGGUACCUGAGUAAGAAGCCCUGGCUAACUACGUGCCAGCAGCCGCGGUAAUACGUAGGGGGCAAGCGUUAUCCGGAUUUACUGGGUGUAAAGGGAGCGUAGACGGGAGUGCAAGUCUGGAGUGAAAGGCGGGGGCUCAACCCCCGGACUGCACUGGAAACUGUACGGCUGGAGUGCAGGAGAGGUAAGUGGAAUUCCUAGUGUAGCGGUGAAAUGCUUAGAGAUUAGGAGGAACACCAGUGGCGAAGGCGGCUUACUAAACUGUAACUGACAUUGAGGCUCGAAAGCGUGGGGAGCAAACAGGAUUAGAUACCCCAGUAGUC
RNAcentral lists this ribosomal RNA (440 nucleotides) under uncultured bacterium. RNAcentral's name for it is "partial 16S ribosomal RNA". It matches the Rfam family "Bacterial small subunit ribosomal RNA", at positions 338 to 795 of the family's 1533-position model. The record is from RNAcentral.